GAUGAACGCUGGCGGCGUGCCUAAUACAUGCAAGUCGAGCGAACAGACGAGGAGCUUGCUCCUCUGACGUUAGCGGCGGACGGGUGAGUAACACGUGGAUAACCUACCUAUAAGACUGGGAUAACUUCGGGAAACCGGAGCUAAUACCGGAUAAUAUAUUGAACCGCAUGGUUCAAUAGUGAAAGACGGUUUUGCUGUCACUUAUAGCUGGAUCCGCGCCGCAUUAGAUAGUUGGUAAGGUAACGGCUUACCAAGGCGACGAUGCGUAAACGACCUGAGAGGGUGAUAGGCCACAUGGGAACGGGGACACGGUCCAGACUCCUACGGGAGGCAGCAGUAGGGAACCUGCCGCAAUGGGCGAAAGCCUGACGGAGCAACGCCGCGUGAGUGAUGAAGGUCUUCGGAUCGUAAAACUCUGUUAUUAGGGAAGAACAAAUGUGUAAGUAACUAUGGACGUCUUGACGGUACCUAAUCAGAAAGCCACGGCUAACUACGUG
This 497-nucleotide ribosomal RNA is filed under the name uncultured bacterium. RNAcentral describes it as "partial 16S ribosomal RNA". It matches the Rfam family "Bacterial small subunit ribosomal RNA", at positions 28 to 507 of the family's 1533-position model. The record is from RNAcentral.